GACGAACGCUGGCGGCAUGCCUAAUACAUGCAAGUCGAACGAGCUUCCGUUGAAUGACGUGCUUGCACUGAUUUUAACAAUGAAGCGAGUGGCGAACUGGUGAGUAACACGUGGGGGAAUCUGCCCAGAAGCAGGGGAUAACACUUGGAAACAGGUGCUAAAUACCGGUAUAACAACAAAAUCCACAUGGAUUUUGUUUGAAAGGUGGCUUCGGCUAUCACUU
This 223-nucleotide ribosomal RNA is filed under the name uncultured bacterium. Its description in RNAcentral is "partial 16S ribosomal RNA". It matches the Rfam family "Bacterial small subunit ribosomal RNA", at positions 28 to 220 of the family's 1533-position model. The record is from RNAcentral.